AGACACUUGUACUCUGUAAA
RNAcentral lists this unclassified non-coding RNA (20 nucleotides) under Dictyostelium discoideum. The record is from RNAcentral. Lineage: Eukaryota; Evosea; Eumycetozoa; Dictyosteliales; Dictyosteliaceae.